This 91-nucleotide transfer RNA is filed under the name Desulfobacterales bacterium. RNAcentral describes it as "tRNA-Ser". It matches the Rfam family "tRNA". From Rfam's summary of the family: Transfer RNA (tRNA) molecules are approximately 80 nucleotides in length. Lineage: Bacteria; Pseudomonadati; Thermodesulfobacteriota; Desulfobacteria; Desulfobacterales. The record is from RNAcentral.
GGAAGGAUGCCGGAGUGGUUGAACGGGGCGGUCUCGAAAACCGUUGGGCGUUUAUAGCGUCCCCAGGGUUCGAAUCCCUGUCCUUCCGCCA